Long non-coding RNA from Cyprinus carpio carpio, 1458 nucleotides. Lineage: Eukaryota; Metazoa; Chordata; Actinopteri; Cypriniformes; Cyprinidae. The record is from Ensembl.
CUCCCGAGGAGUGAACGGUCACUGAACAGACAGAAGAAGAAGAAGGAUUUCUCCAGCAGUUUGCAGAAAGCGGAUCCGUCUGGGCCUCUGUCUUCAAAUCGAAAGUAAACUGGAGACUUGAUUCUUAGGAAAUUCAAGUGUACAUUUCUAAGAUUUAUGAACUGCCAUAAAUAUCACACAUCAGGGCAGGUCUGAAGUCAGUGUGUGGUCAUGGAGAACAGAGACAGAUCUUCAUCUGCUGACCCCAGCUGUGUGUCUCUGAAGAGUGACGCAUCCAUGCAGGAUCCUGGAUUCAGCCUCGGACCAGUGACCUCUGACCCCAGGUGAGAUACAGUCCUGUACAGUGCAAGAGAGUGAGGGUCUCACACAUACACUCACACACACACACGCAGACACACACACAUACACACGCUCACACACACAUGCACACACUCACUCACUCAUUUUCUCACACACACACACACACACACACACACACACACACACACACACACUCACUCACACACACAGACACAGAUACUGGUUUUUGUGGUUCAGCAGCCAAACCAGUUGUAUGGUGGUCUAAGGGGACACAUCUUUCCCAGUGCCCUACUGAGAUUAUAAAACUAUCAAAACAUUAGUUUUAAUCUGCAGAUGAUGAAUCUGGCUUAGAAUUUUCUCUACACACAGUGAAAUGAAUAAUAUGACAAUAUGAUAUUUUGGUGGUACUCAGGGAGAGCCACGCCCCCUGAAAUGUUCCUGCCCCUUACAUAAUUGGGAUUUAUAGGGUCCUCCCGGUUUAUAAGGACACAAUUAACCCUCUCAACACACAGAAACUGCUGCAAUGUGCAAUAUCUAUUAUCAUUAUUUUUGCAAUGUUGAAUCAAAGUAUUUUUUUGUAAAGAUACAUUUUGUAAAGUCUAUUUAAUACUUAAAUCAUCUAACACAAUAUUGUUUUUAAAUGGUCUUUUGUUGGGGUAUAUUCUCAGCUAAAACUGAUGUGUGAUUAAAUAGAUCUAGAAUUAGAAUAAUUAGCAUCUAGUGGCUACAUCGUGAUGUUACCGAUGAUUUUGAAUAUCAUAAAUAUUUGAAAGUGACGUGUAGUCAAGUAUGGUUUCCCAUACUUAAAAUUUGUGCUCUGCAUGUAACCCAUCUAAGAGCACACACACAGCAGUGAGUAGUGAACACACCCAGAGCAGUAUUUAUGUAUUUUUGUGUCUUGGACUGACACUGUAUACAGGCAGAAGAAGACAAGUUGAGCUAGAAUCAUAUUAGUAGUAUCCCUGGAACAUAUUUUAUCUUUAAAAUACAAUUCUGUGAAUAGGAUUUUUAAGGAUGAGAACAUAUUUGCAACAAUUAAUGAAAAGACUCCAGACUCGACUCUGACCUCAGAGGAAAGACUUGUGGACAUGUCUGAAUGAAUCUGUUCGAGAUCUCAGAGAUGCUUCUGUAACCUGAACCUGAUGACUACUUCACUGU